UUCACCGGGUCACUUCGCGAUUCCGAUAUAUCGAAUUAUUGGAAGGAUCGAUAUUCACUCGAAUCGAACGAAAGUCUACAACGUUGUUCAAAAUUCUAUCGAGCCAACGUAUUACCGGACUUUUCCAAGUUUUCCGAAGUAUGUGGAGUAACGUAUUAGCGAAGCGGUUGCGUGAUGCGCGUGUCCGGUACACAACUGAGUUUAGAUCGCGUCCGAGAACACGUACGUGAAUCGUUUGGGGUCGGUGCAUUAAUUAAUGGCACAGAGGCAGAGGCCCGUUAUCUCGUCCGAGUGACGAUGUUCCCGUCGGUUGAAUCACGAAUCCGUUUAUCUCGGCGCCGCGACAAAUUUCCUGCGUUAAAAGCGUCGUGGAAUCGCCAGCUUUUCGGUAAGAGUUGCACAUCCUGACUGGAAGAGCAGAGACUCGCGUGACGCGACACAGUUCCUCGCUUCCGGGCUGUACUCUGCGAGUUUUACGCGAAAUAACGAGACUUCCUCGGCAAGUUUAUUACUCGGCCGCGCUCUGUCUUUCGUAUUCGCCGAUUUUACUGCCGCCCAUAGUUACAAUGUUCUAUCUGCCAUCUCGAAACAUCCGAGAGAACUGAAAUUUUAUCGUUUUCUUUCCGCCAUCCUUGUUUUCUUUCGCGCGAUUCGAAAUUCUACUCGGUCAUUAUUUUAUGAGACAGAGAUAUCGCAAUGGUAUUUGCUACGGCACGAUAAUAUUAAAACGAAGUUCGCACGAAGUAAAGUUCCCGUCGUAAUAGGUUCCGAGAGUUAAGAAAAAUACGUGGGAAGAAGGAACUCGGCGUGCCAUUUUAGCGAAUUGGCUCGUAAAUAUAAUAUAGCGCGCAUCUACCGUAUAACCGGAGACUUUGUUGACUUUGAAACGCGCUCUCUCGAAGAACGGUGUCUCGGGUUAAAAUAAAAAUAAACUCGCAAUAGAGGAGACGAUUUUUUCGAGCCGAGUCCGGAUCGUACGUAGAAACGCGAAGGAAUUACGACAAAUAAUAUCGUCGGUUUGGCGAAGCCAAAGCUAUCGAACUCGGGAACGAGGAGGGCAGGCAGGGAACGGGAAAAUAUUCUCAUUCGAUUUCCAUGAUUUUCGUUUCGCGUAAGAUCAACGUGCAUCCGAGCUUUCGAUUAUCUGGAUAAAGUGGAACGAACGUUUACCGAUGUUGGGGAAACGCGUCGGCUGUAAGACUGACGGCGACGACGCCGACUCUAUACGCUGCACUAUGGUUACGCGAAAGACGAAAUGAAAAUACGUCUGUCGUUCGCAUGACCGCCAAGCAGACUGCACGUGACGCAUCCGAGCUGUGCUGCGCCGUAGUAGUGUGCUUUCUAGGGAGGCUGCAACUCUUAGACGCCGGUCGCCUCCCUUUGCUUCCUUCCU
Molecule: long non-coding RNA, 1393 nt
Organism: Bombus terrestris (buff-tailed bumblebee)
Lineage: Eukaryota; Metazoa; Arthropoda; Insecta; Hymenoptera; Apidae
Exons: 2
Source: RefSeq, a predicted model, not a curated record